This is a long non-coding RNA of Ochotona princeps (American pika), 395 nucleotides long. RefSeq lists it as uncharacterized. The transcript has 3 exons. NCBI's taxonomy places the organism in Eukaryota, Metazoa, Chordata, Mammalia, Lagomorpha, Ochotonidae. The record is from RefSeq and is a predicted model, not a curated record.
AGGGUUGCUCAGGUCAUCAUCUGGGAGUUUGGUUGUGGCUGACUCUUUCAGGAAUCAAAGGAACCCAGAGAACAGCAGCAGCAGCAGAUGCCACUUAAGUGUCAAGUCAGCUCCGCACCCUGAUUCCUCACCUAACUGGAAGUCCUGGAAGCUCAUCCCUACUUUUGUCUGCCCCUGAGGUACUGCAUAGCACCAUGCUAUCCUACUGGAGUCCUUGGCAGGGAAGACUGCCAGCAGAGUUCUGGGGGUAGCGUGUAAUUGCAUUAGUAAUCGGACUCCUUCGAGCAGAAUCUCAAACAAAGGAUUAGCGGGAAGGAAGAUGGAAGAAUGCUGACUUCACAAUAACUCACCGCCUUCCUAACAUGAUUAUAUAAAUAAAUUCAAGCAAUAUUUUU